UACGGGGGGGGCAAGCGUUGUUCGGAAUUACUGGGCGUAAAGGGCGUGUAGGCGGCCAACUAAGUCCGGCGUGAAAUCCCCAGGCUUAACCUGGGAACUGCGUCGGAUACUGGAUGGCUUGAAUCCGGGAGAGGGAUGCAGAAUUCCAGGUGUAGCGGUGAAAUGCGUAGAUAUCUGGAGGAAUACCGGUGGCGAAGGCGGCAUCCUGGACCGGCAUUGACGCUGAAGCGCGAAAGCGUGGGGAGCGAACAGG
RNAcentral lists this ribosomal RNA (253 nucleotides) under uncultured bacterium. Its description in RNAcentral is "partial 16S ribosomal RNA". It matches the Rfam family "Bacterial small subunit ribosomal RNA", at positions 524 to 776 of the family's 1533-position model. The record is from RNAcentral.